Oncorhynchus tshawytscha (Chinook salmon) is the source of this 633-nucleotide long non-coding RNA. Lineage: Eukaryota; Metazoa; Chordata; Actinopteri; Salmoniformes; Salmonidae. The record is from Ensembl.
GUCUGUAACCAUGAGGAGGGGAUACUAUAUAAUGUUGUUGGGUCUGUAACCAUGAGGAGGAGAUACUAUAUAAUGUUGUUGUGUCUGUAACCAUGAGGAGGGGAUACUAUAUAAUGGUGUUGGGUCUGUAACCAUGAGGAGGGGAUACUAUUUCAUGUUGUUGGGUCUAUAACCAUGAGGAAGGGAUACUAUAUAAUGUUGUUGGGUCUGUAACCAUGAGGAGGGGAUACUAUAUAAUGUUGUUGGGUCUGUAACCAUGAGGAGGGGAUACUAUAUAAUGUUGUUGGGUCUGUAACCAUGAGGAGGGGAUACUAUAUAAUGUUGUUGUGUCUGUAACCAUGAGGAGGGGAUACUAUAUAAUGUUGUUGGGUCUGUAACCAUGAGGAGGUUCUGUAACCAUGAGGAAGGGAUACUAUAUAAUGUUGUUGUGUCUGUAACCAUGAGGAGGUUCUGUAACUAUGAGGAAGGGAUACUAUAUAAUGUUGUUGGGUCUGUAACCAUGAGGGGACACUAUAUAAUGUUGUUGUGUCUGUAACCAUGAGGAGGUUCUGUAACCAUGAGGAAGGGAUACUAUAUAAUGUUGUUGGGUCUGUAACCAUGAGGAGGGGAUACUAUAUAAUGUUGUUGGGUCUG